Molecule: ribosomal RNA, 332 nt
Filed under: uncultured Deinococci bacterium
Lineage: Bacteria; Thermotogati; Deinococcota; Deinococci
Description: bacterial SSU rRNA
Rfam family: Bacterial small subunit ribosomal RNA
Source: RNAcentral
GAGUUUGAUCAUGGCUCAGGGUGAACGCUGGCGGCGUGCUUAAGACAUGCAAGUCGAACGGUCCCUUCGGGGAUAGUGGCGCACGGGUGAGUAACGCGUAACUGACCUACCCCAAGUCGCGGAUAACGAUUCGAAAGAAUCGCUAAUACGUGAUGUGCUGUCAGAUUGUGUUCUGCCAGUAAAGAUUUAUUGCUUUGGGAUGGGGUUGCGUUCCAUCAGCUAGUUGGUGGGGUAAAGGCCUACCAAGGCGACGACGGAUAGCCGGCCUGAGAGGGUGGCCGGCCACAGGGGCACUGAGACACGGGUCCCACUCCUACGGGAGGCAGCAGUUA